ACUCAAAGGAAUAGACGGGGACCCGCACAAGCAGAGGAGCAUGUCGUUUAAUUCGACGAUACACGAAAAACCUUACCAAGGCUUGACAUCGUGCGCAUAGCAUGGAAACAUGUGAAAUCAUAGCAAUAUGACGCAUAGACAGAUGGUGCAUGGUUGUCGUCAGCUCGUGUCGUGAGAUGUUGGGUUAAGUCCCGCAACGAGCGCAACCCCUGUGAGAAGUUGCCAGUAUUAAGUUAGGAACUCUUCUCAGACUGCCGUGGAUAACACGGAGGAAGGUGGGGAUGACGUCAAAUCAUCAUGCCUCUUACGCCUUGGGCAACAAACGUGCUACAAUGGCGUCUACAAAGUGUUGCCAACCAGCAAUGGGGAGCUAAUCACAAAAAAGACGUCCCAGUUCGGAUUGUGGGCUGAAACUCGCCCGCAUGAAGUUGGAUUUGCUAGUAAUCCCGAAUCAGCAUGUCGGGGUGAAUGCGUUCCCGGGUCUUGUACACACCGCCCGU
RNAcentral lists this ribosomal RNA (500 nucleotides) under uncultured bacterium. RNAcentral describes it as "bacterial SSU rRNA". It matches the Rfam family "Bacterial small subunit ribosomal RNA", at positions 899 to 1397 of the family's 1533-position model. The record is from RNAcentral.